GCACACACUUGCACGCACACACUUGCACGCACACACUUGCACGCACACACUUGCACGCACACAUCUGCCCACGUCACACCUACACGCACACACUUAUACGCACACACACACCGGCACACAGUAAACAUAAGAACGUGCACCCUUGCUUGCGAGUACACACACACCUGCACACGUACAGGCACACUCACACAUGCAUGCCUGUACGCAUCCAUAAAUAUAAAUACACAUGCAUAUUGAAUGCACGCUUGCAUAAUUAGAGACAGACAGAUUGUUGUGUGGCUGGACAUACGGCUCUCAGAUGUUCCAACACACAGAUCCGUCUCUCUUCCUUCCAACGUUUUUUUACCUGGUGUCUCUGUUCCCUUUUGUUUUGGCUACAACCCACUGAAGUAAACCUUGAACAGAAAACAUGAACUAGUCAGACCCAUGAACCCUCAUGUACUGAACACGGGCUUGAGGGUCGCCUGUGCAUUAAACAGUGAAGAAAAACGUCUCAUCAGAGAGAGUGGGCUCUUUCUAUCGUUGUUUCACUUCCUCUACACUUUCUGCCUCCGUGCCAAACAGUCCCAUGUCAUCCAGAUUGAUGGGAAUGUCACAUUCCAGCUCCAGGGGAUAUGUGGAUAUAUAUGAUAUGCAUAAUCCUGCAUAAAUAAGUCCUGAUACUCAUUACUUAAGUGGUUUAGUGUUGACAACCUCCUCCACCGCCACCGCCACUACCACCUCCAUCACCACCACCACUACCACCUCCAUCACCAUCUCCCCCCCCCACCACCACCUCCACCACCAUCUCUACCACCACCCCCAGCAACACCUCCACCCCCUCUGCCACCAGUACCCGCCACAACCACCUUCACCUCCACCUCCAUCAGCACCACCCUCUCCAUCCUUAGCUCUCAUGUUGUCUAAACACCCAAAGCUGAGCCAUGCUGUCCCUGGCACCUACACGCACACUCACACAAACACACACACACACACACACACACACACACACACACACACACACACACACACACACACACACACACACACACACACACACACACACACACACACGCAUACAGGCAUACACGCAUACAUGCACAUACACAAACACACAACGUAACACAUAAACACACACACAAAUAAAAAUGCACUGCGCACACACGCACACUCCUAGAUAAGCAUACACGCACACUCACACAUAAACGCAGACAUACGCGCGCACACCCACACACACAUACACACACGCACACACACACACACACACACACACACACGCACACAAAUACACGUACACAAAAACGCACACAUACACGUGCACAAAGACGCACACAUACACAGACAGGCACAGAUGCACGUACACUUACACGCAGACGUACAUCUGCACAAACACAAAACACGCACUGGCCACCGCCCUAUCCUUCUCCUGCAGGUCCUUUGGUCGCGGGCCCCGCCUGUCUCCGCUUGUCAUGGCUCCCCUGACCUCCCCCUCCCUCCCUCCCUCCUCCCCCUCCCCCCUCCCUCCCUUCACCUUGUCAAAGCCCUCUCCUCCUUCCCCUUCCUCUCUCCUCUCUCCUCUCUCCUCUCUCCUCCUCCUCUCCGCCCUUCACACUGCGCUAUCUCUCUCGGGGUGUGUUGACUAAAUGCGGGACACUGAUAAUACUGUGUACAUAAUAAAUCAUCGUUAUCGUAUAUCCCAGCUAGUUCUGUAGCAGCAGUAGCAGUAGUUGUAUUAGUAGCAGUAACAGCAGUAGAAGUUGAUGUAGUAGUAGUAGUAGUAGCAGCAGUAAUACUAGUUAGCUUUCCCUUGUUGCUGUGUAGUUAUUUUGGUAGCCUAUACAACUAAAUAAAAUUACAGCAUUGAGGGACAUAUUAUGUUGGUAUGUGUUCUAUAUGUAGGCACACACACACACAAACACUCACUGUGUGUAACCCUGGUUGCCCAGAGCCUCUCCAGAGGCGGGACCUCUGACUGAAUGGGUGUCAUUACCAUGUGAGCUCCACUGGGUGUCACUCAUGAGGCUGUUGGCUUAGCGUCGCCACGCUGCCGUGAUUCACAGGAAACAACUCCUCUCGCUGUGCACACAGUUUGAUCCGGCCCUGUGUGUGUGUGUGUGUGUGUGUGUGUGUGUGUGUGUGUGUGUGUGUGUGUGUGUGUGUGUGUGUGGUGUGUGUGUGUGUGUGUGUGUGUGUGUGUGGCGCGAGGUUGUUCUGAACAGCUGGCCGGUGGUUGGCUGAAGGAGGUGGGGGGGGUCGAGGGGUAGCAGCACUAGCUGUCGACGCCCUGUUUUCCCGCCUCCCAGAACGUUCCGUCUCCCAGAACUCCCCCCCCCCCCCUCCUGACCACAUGAUCCCAAACACACGGGAGCCCCCGGUCAUGUGACGACGGUUAGAACUUUGAAGUUAGACAUUUUAGAAUUGCCUAUCAAGCCAUGUGAUUAGGAGCUCUGUAAUCACUGGAUUUAGUGAUCUGAAAUCAUCUGUUUACAACUCUUAGGUGAAACUAAUUUAAACUUGUAUCGAAUGAGAUCCGGAGGGUGUUCAAUAACAGGAUUCAGAACUGCGAAACCACAGGAUUCAAAACACCAAAAUCACUGAGUUCAGAGCUCUGGACUGGGCAGGAUGGGGUCAGCUUAUUGUUUGCAGUCUGGUAGUCCUGAAGGCCGUCACUAGACCGGCAGGACAGAGCUCAUUCUUUCCAGCCCCCGUUAAACAUUCCAGGUACGAGUGGACUGUGAACGGCAAAACACCGCGUGACACACGCCUCGUAUGGGAUAGAGUCGGCUGGAAAGAACGAUGGACCAGGCACAAAUGUGGGCGUGUCCGAACGGGGGGGGGGGGGGGGGGGGUCACGUUUCAGGUCAAAGGUCAUUCACCUGGCGGGGCUGCACACCUGGUGGGGACACCUGGACUAGAAGUAUAAAUCAGUGUGGAGAUCAUUCAGGGUGUGUUGCUGUUCAGGGGAAAAGGCCACAGCCUGGCCUGGGAUCAGCUCUGACCAGAUGGUGAGUGUUUUGGAGGUGGUUUGUUUUAGAAGUGGGGAGAUUGGGCGGGGAGGAGGGGCAGCGGUGCGAGUCUGAGGUAUUUACGUGUUUCAGGGUGACGUCACGCGGCGUGGAAGAAACGUGCGGCGAGCACGGAGCAAUGUUCUGCACCGACGCCUCUCGGAGAGCUCCGAGUGACCCAGAUGCACACACAAACACAAGUGGACACACACAUGGACAUACACACACACACACGCACACACGUGGACUCGCACACACACACGUGGACACACACACACACACACACACACAAACACGUGGUCACACACACACACACACAAACACGUGGUCACACACAUGGACUUGCACACAAAUGGACACACACUCAUGUGGACAAACACACACACACAAAUGGAAACAGACACACACGGACAUAAACUCAUACAUGGCCACACACACACACGGUGACACACACACACACACGCGUGGACACACACACGUGGACACACACACGGACAGUGUGUUCCUCCCCUGCCCACAGGAGAGCCGUCUCUAGCCCGGGCUAGCCUCACGGCCCAGAUGUGGCGCGACUCCAGAUGCUAACACGUAAACAGACAUGCUAAUUAGCCCCCUGUUCCGUCGCUCUCUGACGACAUUCCCGCUCCCGGAAUCUGACCUGGGAAUUCCUCAACCAAGUUUCUGCGGUGGUUUUCUCCCUGUGGUUACCUGAUGUCGUCUACCCACUGUGCUAAUUAAAGCCUGUGGCUAAUUAGUCUGACUCUAAUUAACAAUGACAAAUUAAACGCUCGCCCAAAAGGAACAUCUUGAAAUCGGCAUCGCUUUGUUCAAUUCCUGGAGUGAGGAGAGAAUUCAGCUGCCUCUUCACAGACGCAAUACAGUAGUGAUACAGUGAUAGUGAUACAGAGGUGAUACAGUGAUAGUGAUACAGUGAUACAGUGUAUACAGUAGUGAUGCAGCAUUGAUACAGUGUAAGGUCACAGUGGUGUGUCUAGACUCAUUCCUUUGAUUAUCUAUUUACAUGUGAGAUUUAGUUUGUGGCCAGUCCAUUCUGAUCCCCCCCAGCCUCCC
This is a long non-coding RNA of Gadus macrocephalus (Pacific cod), 4052 nucleotides long. RefSeq lists it as uncharacterized. The transcript has 3 exons. The record is from RefSeq and is a predicted model, not a curated record. NCBI's taxonomy places the organism in Eukaryota, Metazoa, Chordata, Actinopteri, Gadiformes, Gadidae.